AGCCCGGGGCUCCUCCUCGACCUUCCUGCUGGAGAAGAGGCCCCCGGAGCGCUGCCCUCUGCCUGCCAUCCUCUCAUCACUCGGUACUUGACCAUCUCUGUGCCCACGGUGUCUGGCUCUAUGGCAGGGGACCAGAACAUGCCACCCCAAGUAUGCCUCUGGCAUAAGGAUUUUUGUGCUGAUUGUUUUUGAGAAACUGCAGACACAGGAGGAGCCUGCAAACAGCAUAAGUGACCCUUUUAUCGGGGGAAUUUACAUAGAAAGGGGGGUUAUGCCAGGAAUGCAGCUAUGCCCACACAUCACUUCACCUGACUCCUGUGCAUGGCAGGGCAGCCUUGUUUACCAUGAAUUUCUCUUCUGACCUUCCUGUCAUUGGGACGGAGGAGGGUAUUCCCAGCUAGGAUAACAGGACACGAUCGAAGCAACGUACAGCAAGCAGCGUGGAACCCAACGUGGUCUCCCUCUGAAAAAUAAGUUCAACUACACAUAAAGACGUAAAGGCUGGGAGUUCCAUGAACCAGUCAGCCGCAAAGGACUUCGGGAAAGCUGCAGGCCUUCCAGGCUUCUAUUCCUUCUAUUCCUCCCUCACUCAGCACAUCAGCCUCCCCUGACCACCCCCUUCACGCGAUCCUUGUAAGGAAGCACAACAAGAUUCUGAUGCACUUUGAAAUUUUAAUCAUGAAUGGAGAAUUAAAGAAUCUCGAGUCAGAGAAUGCCAUUCUUUGAGGAAUCUUACGGGCACCGGAGUAUUAACGUUCCCAUAAAUGAAUUCCCCCAACACACAGUUUUUGAUCAUCUGCCAGGCCCUCGGCUGGACAGGAGGAGCACUGCCCAGGGAGUUUACAGUCAAGUUGGGGAGACGGAAUGAGCACAAGUUAUAGCACAAGAACCAUGAUUACCUCCAGCUGUGAGACUGUGAGACUGUAAGGCAGACGGUGGCUUGAAGAGUGAGGCCUUGCAAAUGGGGAGCAAACACACCAAAAGAGGGAGCUAUUGAGAGAAGGCAGAGCUGGGAGAGAGAGGGGUGUGCCCAAGGAAAGGCAGGCCAUGAGGCUGUUAAUGCAAAGAACUGGAGGAGCGCCUGGAUGGCCCAGUCGGUUAAGCAUCCGAGUCUUGGUUUUGGCUGAGGUCAUGAUCUCACGGUCUGU
Molecule: long non-coding RNA, 1148 nt
Organism: Lynx canadensis (Canada lynx)
Lineage: Eukaryota; Metazoa; Chordata; Mammalia; Carnivora; Felidae
Exons: 3
Source: RefSeq, a predicted model, not a curated record